UGCCAUUCAUUUAUUCAUCCCUCAAAUAUUUAUUGAGCUUCUACUAAAUACCAAGCAAUGCUAAAGGCACUGAAGAUAUAGCAAUAAGCCAAGCCAAGUUUCUCUCUCAAGUAGUGUCAUUUUAUUGUGGUUACAGUUGACAGGUAAUAAAACAAAGAUAGGUGUGCCUGUGUAUGUGUACGUAUUUAUUUUAUACAGGGUGAUUGAAGGACUCCUACAAUGAUAUCAGAGCAAAAAUCUGAAAUAAGUGAAGGAAAAAUCAUGCAACUCCAGGAAAAAAAUAUUGUCUUUAAAUAUUCCAAGAAUGAAACCACAGAAGUAAAUAUGGUUUGGAGUUACUAAUCUUCAUAACAAGGAAGAAGGAAGUUUGGCAAAUAAAAGUUCAAAGGGAUUUUUGAUGAAGAAACGAUUAAAAUCCCCUUAUUUUUCCCUGCUAAGAAAAAAAAUUCCACACAUAUUACCCUUUUAGACUUCAAUUAUAAAACCUUUUAUUCAAAAAAAGUAAAAUGUAUGUGCAUAUAACCAUUACCUGUCUACCCACCUCUGAGAUUAGAUCUAUUAAUAUUUGAUUAUAAUUGAUUCCAAUCUUUUUUAAUUAAAAAAAUACAUAGACACUAAAGUCCCACUGACCAGUUCUUUUCUCUCUUCACUGCUCAAAUCCUGCGAUGAUAGUAUCAUCUUCAUUAAUGUUCUGAACUUUUACCAUCUAUUCAUGUUUCUCUAUAUAAUAUUUAGUGCUUAACAUCUACAUGAAUAACAUUGUAGCAUUUUGUGUUCUUUUUUUACUCAAAAGUAUGUUUAAAGGCUUACCCUUGUUAAACCAGUUAGAUUGAGUUGUUUCAUUUUAACUCUGUA
Molecule: long non-coding RNA, 855 nt
Filed under: Cercocebus atys (sooty mangabey)
Lineage: Eukaryota; Metazoa; Chordata; Mammalia; Primates; Cercopithecidae
Description: lncRNA (ENSCATG00000045662.1)
Source: RNAcentral